GACGAACGCUGGCGGCGUGCUUAACACAUGCAAGUCGAGCGGUAAGGCCCUUUCGGGGGUACGACGAGCGGCGAACGGGUGAGUAACACGUGGGUGGACCUGCCCUCCAGCUCUGGGAGUAAGCCCGGGGAAACCUAGGGUCGUAAUAACCGGAUAUGACUUCAUGACGCAUGUUGUGGAGUGGAAAGCCUUGUGCGGCUGAGGAUGGGCCCGCGGCCUAUCAGC
RNAcentral lists this ribosomal RNA (225 nucleotides) under uncultured bacterium. Its description in RNAcentral is "partial 16S ribosomal RNA". It matches the Rfam family "Bacterial small subunit ribosomal RNA", at positions 28 to 245 of the family's 1533-position model. The record is from RNAcentral.